This 587-nucleotide ribosomal RNA is filed under the name Variovorax paradoxus. RNAcentral describes it as "bacterial SSU rRNA". It matches the Rfam family "Bacterial small subunit ribosomal RNA", at positions 75 to 657 of the family's 1533-position model. Lineage: Bacteria; Pseudomonadati; Pseudomonadota; Betaproteobacteria; Burkholderiales; Comamonadaceae. The record is from RNAcentral.
GGGAACAAUCCUGGGCGGCGAGUGGCGAACGGGUGAGUAAUACAUCGGAACGUGCCCAAUCGUGGGGGAUAACGCAGCGAAAGCUGUGCUAAUACCGCAUACGAUCUACGGAUGAAAGCAGGGGAUCGCAAGACCUUGCGCGAAUGGAGCGGCCGAUGGCAGAUUAGGUAGUUGGUGAGGUAAAGGCUCACCAAGCCUUCGAUCUGUAGCUGGUCUGAGAGGACGACCAGCCACACUGGGACUGAGACACGGCCCAGACUCCUACGGGAGGCAGCAGUGGGGAAUUUUGGACAAUGGGCGAAAGCCUGAUCCAGCCAUGCCGCGUGCAGGAUGAAGGCCUUCGGGUUGUAAACUGCUUUUGUACGGAACGAAACGGCCUUUUCUAAUAAAGAGGGCUAAUGACGGUACCGUAAGAAUAAGCACCGGCUAACUACGUGCCAGCAGCCGCGGUAAUACGUAGGGUGCAAGCGUUAAUCGGAAUUACUGGGCGUAAAGCGUGCGCAGGCGGUUAUGUAAGACAGUUGUGAAAUCCCCGGGCUCAAUCUGGGAACUGCAUCUGUGACUGCAUAGCUAGAGUACGGUAGAGG